This 253-nucleotide ribosomal RNA is filed under the name uncultured bacterium. RNAcentral's name for it is "partial 16S ribosomal RNA". It matches the Rfam family "Bacterial small subunit ribosomal RNA", at positions 524 to 776 of the family's 1533-position model. The record is from RNAcentral.
UACGAAGGGGGCUAGCGUUGCUCGGAAUCACUGGGCGUAAAGCGCACGUAGGCGGCUUGCUAAGUCAGGGGUGAAAUCCUGGAGCUCAACUCCAGAACUGCCUUCGAUACUGAGAGUCUCGAGUCCGGGAGAGGUGAGUGGAACUGCGAGUGUAGAGGUGAAAUUCGUAGAUAUUCGCAAGAACACCAGUGGCGAAGGCGGCUCACUGGCCCGGUACUGACGCUGAGGUGCGAAAGCGUGGGGAGCAAACAGG